UCUGUUAAAAAAAGAAAAUCUAUCUUGGUCACUCCUGUUGCCUCCAGCUCAGGUAGUGCAGGGCACAGGGCCUUGCUGCCCAAGGCGCUUUGCUUCGCUUCGCUUCGCGGGGCUGGCUACCCAUAAUGACAGUGUCCCGGGGACGGCGCUUGUGUAACAGGCAGAUUUACCAAGAGGGGACGACUGUUUGCUCAGCAGCUGAGCAGUCUAUAAUUAGACUGUCACAACAUCAGCAAAAGUACAGGAUCAAUGUAAUCAGAGAAGAAAUGGAAAAGAACGCCGCAUCAGUCAAAGCCUCCAGUGGGUCCCCGUGGUUUCCGGAGCACUAAUCGCCCGGGUGGGGCUCGAUGCCCUGCUUGUGGGUUUCCUCCUGGGUGAAGACAAGGUUUGCUUAGGCAGACUAGGCCUGCCCUUCUCAGCCACCUGGUUCAUUUCCACAUCUCUGUCCCCCUCUCCUCUGCUCACUGAGAGCAAGCAGGACUUGCAGGUCAAACUCAUGGCUGAGACACGACUGAUCUCCACCAUAUGCGCGGGUCGGUUAAGUGGGAAGGGCUAGCUUCUCUAACUCAAAGAUUCCUAGGUUCCAUCUCAGCCCUGCGCAACCAGAAGCUGUGGGAUGAGCACCAAAGACAGUCUCUGUGUGGCACAUUCCAGGUGCUUACUAUGCAAACGAAAAGCUGAGAACUGCUAGGCCAUCUGCUGGUCCCAGCUCACAGUGGACUGGCCCUCUAGCGCCUACUGGACACCUGGGUGUUUCUAACAGUCUGACAGACCAGCCAAAGGUAAAAAAACCUUUCCAAGCCCAGGAAUGAUAAUAGGCUUAUGUCCCUUUUAAUUAUCUUAAGAAUCCCAAGUCCCAGACAUGUUUAUCUCAUUAAUCCCCAUGACACCUGAGCCAGGGAGUCGUGUACAGUACCUAUAGCUUCCACCAAAGUAGAUCAGGGUCACAUGUGUCCUGAGAUAAUUGGGAUCUGGGGGCUUGGAGCCUUUCCCCAGCCUGAUUCUCACAGAAUCAACUGGAUUUUUUUUUUUUAAUCUGUGUGAUUUAUUUAGUAAACAGGUUUUUUAUUUGUUUGUUUUUUUUACAUUAAUACUACAUGGUAGAAAAAACAGAAACUAGAGACAAAAGGAAGGAGUAAAUUAUGACUGAUGCCGCUACAGUGUGUUUAUAUUUUUGUGUUUAACCGUCCACACUGUGCACGUGUGUUUGUGUGCACUCCUACACGUACACUUUCCUGUAUAUGCAAAAUCCCUGCAGAGAGAGAUCCAUGACCCGUGGGAGCAGGGCUACUGACAGGAACUCAAUGAAGGGCAAAGGGAAGGGCCACCUGUAUCAGUGACUCUCGUUGUGAUAGAAUAGCUUACAAAUGCAAGCGAAGAAAGGAAGCUUGGUUCUUGCUCAGUGGGCGGGUGCAGUCCAUCAUGGCUGGCAAGUCCAGGCCACAGGAGCUUGACAAAGCCGGUCACAUUGUAUCCAUGCAUAGGAAGCAGAAAGCGAUGGAUGAUGUCUGUCCUCAUUUUCCAUGUUUACUUUGUCUGGGACACCAUCCCUUGUGGAAUGUCCCUGCCCACAUUUAGGGUUGGUCUUCAGACCCCUAUUAACCAAAUCUAAGUAAUCCCUCACGUGCCCUUAAAAGGAAUGGCUACGCCUAUAGAACUAACAGGAAAUGGGAGGCCAUUUCCACACCAGGCCUUAAGGGAUAAAGCAAGGUACCAGAACCUGGGGACAGUUGCUAUGGCUACAAGAGGGCUAUAUGACAAGAUUUAGGUUAAGGAGUUCUGUGUCAGCCCAAUAAGCCCACCUACCCUACCUUCUGCAAACAUGGGGAUCUCUGCCUGUCCCUCCUAUGAGCUGCCCAGCUACCAGUAGAUUGGUGCUACCACCACAGACUCAGCAGGAUGUAAAAGUGGGAGGGAGAAGGUCUGCAUGGCACUCUAUUGCUAUGAAGAAACAUGAUGACCAUGACAACUCUUAUACAGAAAAAACAUUUAAUUAGUUAAAGAAAAAACAUUAAUUCCAGUUCAGAGAUUUAGUCCAUUAUUGUCAUGGCAGGAAGCAUGGUGGCACACAGAUAUGGUACUAGAGAGGCAGCUGAGAAUUUUAUAUCCAUGCCAGCAGGCAGCAGGAAACAAGAGGGACGCUGGGCCUGGCUUGACCAUUUGAAACCUCAGAGCCCAUCCCCCAGUGACAUACUUCCUCGAACAAAGCCACCCUCCAGUAAUGCCACUCCCUAUGAGCCUAUGGUGGCUAUUUUUCUUCAGACCAAUACAGUUGGUUAAGCUGGUAAAACACAAUCUUCCAUCUUUGGUGAGUUCCACUGCACUGAAUCAGCAUAAAGAAUGACUGCUUUACAGUGUUUCCCCCACACUGUGAGCCAGGAACCCAGAUUGCUAGCUCUAAGUCAACCAAUUGUUCAGUGAAUGUGGACUCCUCCAUAGGUAAAGUGCUGGAUAGGAAGGGAGAACCAGAGGAGACUUGCAGAGCCUCAGCCUCCAGAAGCUUAUAGCUUCAUCAAGGAUUUGGGGAUGCACUAAGACAUAUCAGCCAGACAGAAGGACAAGCCCUAAGAGAAAGAGGUAAAAGUAUGUGUGUCCCCAAAUUCAUCUGCUGGAAAUUAUCUCCACCUCGCGGUCCACAGGUGACAGGUAGCAUCUUUAAGAGGUGACUGAGUUGGGAGGUGUCGCCCUUGUGAGUAGAUGACUGAUUUUACUUUCUUCACAGCCAGGAGUCCCCUCCCCCACAAACACAGCCCUCAGUCUUGAAUUGCCCAACUACCAGAACCAAGAGCUAAAAACCUUUGAUGGUUUAUAAUUUACUUUGGGUUUAUAAUUUAAUGUUUGUGGUGUUAAUUGUAGCAACAGAAACUGAACUAAGGCCAGCUGUAGUGGUGCAUGCCUUUAAUCUUAGUACUCAGGAGGUAGAGGCAGGCUGAUCUCUGAGGUUUUGGCCAGCCUGGUCUACAGAGGGAGUUCCCUGUUAGCCAGGGCGACACAGGGAAAUGCUGUCUCAAAAAAACAAACAGAAAACUGAACUAAGACAGACAGAUACAAAUAUUUACACUAAGGGUAGCUAAUAUUUUAGGCUCCUCACAGUUGAGUUAUUAUUAAAAGACAGCCCCUACUAUAUAUUGGUGUUCUUCUAAGUUAUUUGUAUAUAUUUACAUUAUUUAAUCUCCCCAGAUCCCCAUGAGGUAGUCAUAGGUUUCCUUGCCUCUGGCUCUCAUAGACUCUCUGAUGGCUGCUUGGCCAACUGGAAUUCCCAAGUCUCCUUUCUGGCCAUUCUCACGUCUAGUGGGGGUUGAAGAUAAAAAAUGUUAAGUGUGCACACUGGGCACGCUUGACUGGUGCCCAGCUCUCGGUAAUAUGCUGCCUCCUACUUGGGUUUAACUGAUGUCCCAACCCCUAGGCAGUUGACCUGGGGCUGCCAGUUGCCUUGCCUCACAUUGGCCAAGCUGGGGUCAUUCAGGGUAAAGCAGUGUCCUAGCCUGUGCUCUACUCAGCUUAUGAAGGAAGAGAAGAGAGCCCUCCCUCUGUGUGGGCUGGAUGGUUACAGAACCCCCGCCACUGUUUGCUGCCCCGAGAUGACCGAGGCGUGUGGUGACUGACACACGGGUGGAUGCAGAGGCACAGAAUCAGGACCACCAAACUGGAGGCCCCAUUGCUUCCAAGACUCUCUCCUCCAACAGUACCACCCUCUCUAAGUGUUCUAGGCAAUUAUAGUUUUGAUACCUAGAUGAAUAUUUUUCCAACUCAAACCUUGUGAGCUUACAGGUAAAGCAAGACUGAAAACAUCACUGUAGACCAUUUAAGGGCUGCCCUGGUCUUCUAUCAUCUGUUCUGAAGCUAUCCAUCUCUGUUUUCCUGUCCUGUGGAUGAGCACCAGCUCGCCAGUGGAAGUGGAAGCCUGGACGGGCAACCCAAUAGAAUCCUGGACCCCACAGAGGAGCCAGUGCUGCAGCCUGAAGGACAGGACUUGGGUCCCACUAUGAGGCAGCUCCGGGCUCAGAGGCCAGCCUGAGGUCAGAGACUCAAGCUUCAGUCCUGGUCCCACCACGGCAACUUGAGGCAAGUUCCUUGGCUUCUCUGAGCUUUGGUCUCCUCAACUGCAGCAGCAAGAGCCAGGAACUUCCCACCCCGUGUCCACCAUGUGGUUGGCGACUCUUCUCACUUAGCAGAUCUUGCCAUCUGAAUCCUGUGCUCUCAGACAACACUGCUCAUGUGUAAAACAGUACCAAGAUCCAGAAACAAGUUCAAAUCCACGUGGCGCCUCUCUCUCUGGCUCCGCAAGUCACUUCGCUAGCACUUCAGGUGUCAGCUGUCACUUUAACAUCUUCCAAGGAACAGACCACAACUGUCUUGGAGCUACAGACCCAGACUGCCCCAUGUACAGUGUGCAGAGGCUUGGCAGGCAGUGUUUUUCAGACGAGGAAACCAAGGCUUUGAAGACAGUAUGAGAAAUGCCUUGUUCAAGGCCCUGGGGUUAAGCAGAGGUAAGGUUGGGGAAUAUCUUCUCGUUUCAAAACAGCAUUGUGCAAGCUAACCCACUGCCAUGAAAAUGUCCCCCCUGCACCUGUCCUCUCCUCCCAACCUUCUUUUCUGAAAUAGGAUCAGACCUCAGCUGGCUGAGAACUUGUCAUCCUCCUGCCUCAGACUCCUGCAUACUGAGAUCAAAGGUGUGUACCACUAGGCCCAUCAAAGGUCAACCUUUUCUAAGGCAAGGUUCAGUGAACUUGGUGUGUCUGCAGGAUUCUACAGUCCUCUCCACAGUCUCAUUCGAAAACACCUCAUCACUGCACCAAGAAACUCUGCACCCAUCAGUUAUGUCUGCCCCUCCCCAACUCCUUCUGCCACUAGAAAUAAUUAAUCUUUCUCUCUAUAGCUUUGCUUAAUUUGGACAAUAGUCCUACAAGUAGAUCUAUUAUUGUAUGUGCUCUUUUGAGACCGGAUUCUUUCACUUAGACAGUUCUUAAGGUUUGUUUGUGGUUAGCAGGAAUGAACACUUCAGUCCUAUUACAGCUGAGUAAGACCCCAAACGUGGAGUUGUUUCUCCUGUUCAUCACUGUCAUUGAUGGACAUGCGGGCUGUGUCCACCUCUUGAGCAUUAUGAACAGGGUGCCUCUGAACAGUCACAUACAAUUCUGUGUGUGUGCAGGUGUUCAGUUUGAGGAGUGGCUUAUACAGGAUCGGUUAAAGAGUAGCCUCCCUUUGCUAUGCCAUUUCUCAGAACCUUGGCACGCCAACAUGCAUCUUCCAAAUGUAUUUGGCCAGGAAACUAUUUUCCCCAUAAAGUAUCCAGGAAGACAUUGGAAAGUCUGAUUUAAUGCACCCAUUUUGCACCCAGAGGUUCAGCAACCCACAUCAUAGACGAGCGUAAGGGGUGACCUAUUGCAGUAGACCAAAGCAACAUGCGGCUGUCUGAAUGGGAAGAAGCUUCGUAAACAAGGGAUAUUCAAGAGUCACAAAGGCAUUGGAAAAAUGAAUGUGGCUCCAUACAUAAACAAUGAAACGUCUGAACCUCAAGCUACAGAUGAACGCAAUUAGCGAGCAAAUGGCCAUGCUAAGAUAGCCCACUGUAUUUUACUCCUGGCACUAAGGGAGAAAUCCCAAACAAUACCAACAACUGUGACUCUCAGGCCCUACCAUGGAGGUAGAUUUCAGUUAAAACUCCGGGAUGGGUGGGUCAGUGAUGUGGCUCAGCAGGUACAGGCAUUUACUGCCAAGCCUAAUGGCCUGAAUUUGUUUCCCAGAACCCAGAUGGUGGAAAGAGAAAACCAAGUCCACAAAUUAUCCCUUGACCUCCACAUGCAAGUGUCUCCCCCUCAUUCACCCAAACAAACAAGUCGAUGUUCAAAACUCCUGAGUGAUUAUAUUACAAAUUUAGUAUUAAAUAUUAGAAGAGCCUAUAUUAUACAAUUUACAGGUCAUGACUUGUUAAGAUAUAGCAGUAAGAAAAAGGCUCUGUGCUCUAGUAGGAAAGCAAGUAAAAGCCAAACACAUUUGUCCAAAAAAAAAAAAAAAAAAAAAAAAAAAAGGAAAACCAGUGCAAAUGUACUAUGAUGCAAUGACGUACAAACUGUAUGUUUACCAAACACUUCUAUGGUCCCGUAACUUGGAAUAUCUCAUUUAAGCCUUUCAACUAAUUCUAUGCUGUAUCCAUAUCCUAGAGACGGAGAAACUGAGGCCAGGGCAUGACUCCUAGCUCACAAAGGCUAUAGGGAACAGAAUGGCAACUGUCUCCAUUUGGCCUGGGAACUAGCGCUUUAAUCAACACAGUGAGCCUCUGAGCCUCAAUUCCACAAGCAUGCCUUCCUAUCCACCAAGCGGAAAACCUUUCCCAAGUCUUCAAAGUGCUGACUCCUGGGGCCCGAACCUCCACCUAUAUUCACAUCUUCUAAAACAAAAGCCAGCAUGAGGACAUAGCUUUACACUCCUAGGAUCGCAGGAAUGUGCCUCCACACUAAGAAGACACCACCUCUGACUCUCCAAAUUCCUAUGGGUCAGGAAGCCCUUGGGUGUUGCCUGGAUCUGGUGCAGGAACUGCUACAGAAUCCCCACCAAACCUGCUUCCCACUGAGCCCAGAGCAUCCUUUGUUCAGAGCACUACAUGGUUGGUACAAGCCACAUUCCUUUGUAAGGUGAAUGAUUUUCUAGUGUGCCAAGUUGGCUACAGAAAGCUUAACAACUAUUCUCUGAAAAGUGUUUUCUGUAGCUAAUUUGGGCCUAAUCCUUUCAAAGGUCAACAGGUAUCUCAGCCCAAGUUCACAAGAUAAGAAAAACAGGGAAGUCAACAGCUUGUCCAAGGUCACAUCCAAGGUGCACAAGGUUAAAGGUGAGGAGGCCAGGCCUGCCUCAAGUUCUGUCUGCACUUUAUUUCACUGAAUAGAUUCUAAUAUCUCAACCAAGGAUAGUCAGCAAACAUGACUUCUCCUUGCUCUGCUAGACUUCUGUAUGACCAAAGAUCAGCCACCAUUAUGGAACCAUGUCCUACCAGGUCCUUACAUCAUGCUCUGAUGGUCAAGUAUAAGACUCCAGCAUGCUGAGUAUGUACAGGUUCAAAGCCCUGUCUCUGCUGUUGUCCUAUAGGUAGGACUGGAUUUGUACUCUUACACUUUCCCUAAUUAAACAUCAUCUUGAUAAAAUCACUUUCUGGCCAGGCAAGAGUUUGGGGUCCUGGUUCCAUCAUUAGCAGCUCUCUUUUACAUUUGCUGUGACGGCACACUGAGGAAGGACUUUCAGAAAGGCGAAACACAUGGUAUCAGGGCUUUGGAGGGCUAGAGUCAGUGAGCUCUGGAGCUGAAUCCUAGUUUCGACAGUUAGGACCUCAUGACCUUGAGUAAUACAGCCAAUCUCUCAAAGUUUCUGUUUCCUGUCUGUAAAAGGGAUGAGGAAAACACUGGCUCACAAAGCAGGCACCAUCACGAGCCUGUGAUGCUGUCCCUGGCAUGAGAAGAGCAGGCAGUAGGUGGAGGCUGGGCAGCCCCUGUUUGGCCAUGUGCUCUGCACUGUGCUGGGACAGAGGGACAUUCUGGAAUGCUUCUCUUCAAUCCAUCCAAGGAUGGUCCCUCGUAGUCAUGGGUGCCAUCCCCUGGGGAGACGUGGCUUGUGACUGUCAUGAGUAAUGGGACAGGAAGCAUUGUCCUGCAGGGUCCGAAGGCAUGAGCCAAUUCUGGGACCCACCCAAGAACAAUGGCAGUUCUCCAUGGGUCAUGUUCACUGGAAGCUUGCUAUGGACAGCAUCUCUCAUGCCGACUUCCUCUUUUUUAUGCAGACCCGUGACCCCAGAGACCUCACUGAAUUCCACCUUUUCCUUCCUCUCAGGCAAACUCAACCAUCUACUCUCAGAUCUAGUCAAGGAAAAUGGCAACCUUUACCGUAGACUAAUUCCUAGGCAGCUUACAUUUGCAUAUAUGCUAAACAAUCAUGACAGUGUCCAGAGAAGUGUGUGUGUGACACAGGUAAGAUCUCAAUCUACAUCAUUUACAUGGGUGUGAUGGAACUGGGUUGCCUAAAACUCUCUUCCUCUGAUUCUAGAUGCCCCUCAACUUGCAACGUAGUGAUGUCCAGAUGAACUCACCAUGAACCGAAGAUGGGAAUUAAAAUGCAUGAAAUAUUUUUAAUCCACUUAAUCUACCUUCAGAAAGAAGACUGAGAGACAACUACUUCCUCAGGCCUCAGCAGCCUUAUCUCGGAAUUCUAGAAUCAGGCAGCAGUCUAGACCCAAAAUGGUUCAGAAUGUUCCAUGUCAGGCGCAAGAAGCAAGUCAGAAAGGAGGAAGUGAGACACAGAAACAGCCUGAUUGGCUCCAGCUCACAUCUGCUUGUUUAGUUUUUGUUUUUUUAAAUAAAGGUUUUAGUUAGCCCCUUG
Molecule: long non-coding RNA, 8364 nt
Organism: Mus musculus (house mouse)
Lineage: Eukaryota; Metazoa; Chordata; Mammalia; Rodentia; Muridae
Product: predicted gene 12474
Exons: 5
Source: RefSeq, a predicted model, not a curated record